Molecule: ribosomal RNA, 490 nt
Filed under: uncultured bacterium
Lineage: Bacteria
Description: bacterial SSU rRNA
Rfam family: Bacterial small subunit ribosomal RNA
Source: RNAcentral
GAUGAACGCUAGCUACAGGCUUAACACAUGCAAGUCGAGGGGCAGCAUGACGAUAGCUUGCUAUUGUCGAUGGCGACCGGCGCACGGGUGAGUAACGCGUAUCCAACCUUCCCGUUGCUAGGGGAUAACCUUGCGAAAGUAAGACUAAUACCCUAUGAUGUUCUUCGCAGGCAUCUAAAGAGAACGAAAGAUUUAUCGGCAACGGAUGGGGAUGCGUCUGAUUAGGUUGUUGGCGGGGUAACGGCCCACCAAGCCCACGAUCAGUAGGGGUUCUGAGAGGAAGGUCCCCCACAUUGGAACUGAGACACGGUCCAAACUCCUACGGGAGGCAGCAGUGAGGAAUAUUGGUCAAUGGACGGAAGUCUGAACCAGCCAAGUAGCGUGCAGGACGACGGCCCUAUGGGUUGUAAACUGCUUUUAUGUGGGAAUAAAGUGAGGGACGUGUCCCUUUUUGUAGGUACCACAUGAAUAAGGACCGGCUAAUUCCGUG